RNAcentral lists this ribosomal RNA (357 nucleotides) under uncultured bacterium. RNAcentral describes it as "bacterial SSU rRNA". It matches the Rfam family "Bacterial small subunit ribosomal RNA", at positions 28 to 314 of the family's 1533-position model. The record is from RNAcentral.
GAUGAACGCUGGCGGCGUGCCUAAUACAUGCAAGUCGAGCGGUAAGGUUCUGCACUUAGUAUUUAACCAGAGUAGGUCCAUGCAAAUGGAAACCACCUGAAGCAGGGAACUCCAAGGCUGGAGAACCCGAGUUGAAUCCUGAGUGUAGAAUACACGAGCGGCGGACGGCUGAGUAACACGUAGGAACGUACCCCAAAGUGAGGGAUAAGCACCAGAAAUGGUGUCUAAUACCGCAUGUGAUCUUCGGAUUAAAGCUUCGGCGCUUUGGGAACGCCUGCGUAAGAUUAGCUAGUUGGUGAGGUAAUAGCUCACCAAGGCGACGAUCUUAGCUGGUCUGAGAGGAUGAUCAGCCAGACU